GUGAACCUGCGGAAGGAUCAUUAACAAAUCGAAACGGGGGUGGGCUGUCGCUGGCCUUCAGGGGCAUGUGCACGCCCGCCCUCGAAUCCAAUCUUAAACCUGUGAACCCACGGCGGAGGGCUCGGUCCGUAAGGGCUUGAGCCUUCCUGCUCCUACACACCCUCGUAUGUUCAGAAUGUCACUUUGCGUUUUUGCGCAUCCAUAUACAACUUUCAGCAACGGAUCUCUUGGCUCUCGCAUCGAUGAAGAACGCAGCGAAAUGCGAUAAGUAAUGUGAAUUGCAGAAUUCAGUGAAUCAUCGAAUCUUUGAACGCACCUUGCACGCUCCGGUAUUCCGGAGCGUAUGCCUGUUUGAGUGUCGUGGUAUCAUCAACCCCACCGGCUUGACUGACGGUGGUGGCUUGGAUCUGGAGGUGCUGCUGGCUGCUUUGGCAACCGGCUCCUCUGAAAUACAUCAGCUGGGACGUUCCGUCCGAGGGCUUUGACGUGAUAGUGAUGUUGCGUCGCUGACCGAGGACCUCUAGUCGCCGCUUCUAACCGUCCGCGAGGACAAGUGACUACAUCGACCUUUGACCUCAAAUCAGGUAGGAUUACCCGCUGAACUUAAGCAUAUCA
RNAcentral lists this ribosomal RNA (615 nucleotides) under Crustoderma corneum. RNAcentral describes it as "eukaryotic LSU rRNA". The stretch from base 208 to 361 matches the Rfam family "5.8S ribosomal RNA". The record is from RNAcentral. Lineage: Eukaryota; Fungi; Basidiomycota; Agaricomycetes; Polyporales.